CCCAACCAAAUACUAACCAAGCACAACCCUGCUUAGCUUCUGAGAUCAGAAGAGAUCAGGUGUGUUCAGGGUGGUAUGGCC
This 81-nucleotide small RNA is filed under the name Cricetulus griseus (Chinese hamster). Lineage: Eukaryota; Metazoa; Chordata; Mammalia; Rodentia; Cricetidae. The record is from RNAcentral.